UACGGGAGGCAGCAGUGGGGAAUUUUCCGCAAUGGGCGAAAGCCUGACGGAGCAACGCCGCGUGAGGGAUGAAGGCCUCUGGGCUGUAAACCUCUUUUAUCAAGGAAGAAGAUCUGACGGUACUUGAUGAAUAAGCCACGGCUAAUUCCGUGCCAGCAGCCGCGGUAAUACGGGAGUGGCAAGCGUUAUCCGGAAUUAUUGGGCGUAAAGCGUCCGCAGGCGGCCCUUCAAGUCUGCUGUUAAAAAGUGGAGCUUAACUCCAUCAUGGCAGUGGAAACUGUUGGGCUUGAGUGUGGUAGGGGCAGAGGGAAUUCCCGGUGUAGCGGUGAAAUGCGUAGAUAUCGGGAAGAACACCAGUGGCGAAGGCGCUCUGCUGGGCCAUCACUGACGCUCAUGGACGAAAGCCAGGGGAGCGAAAGGGAUUAGAUACCCCUGUAGUCCUGGCCGUAAACGAUGAACACUAGGUGUCGGGGGAAUCGACCCCCUCGGUGUCGUAGCCAACGCGUUAAUGUUCCGCCUGGGGAGACGCACGCAAUUG
This 538-nucleotide ribosomal RNA is filed under the name uncultured Synechococcus sp. RNAcentral's name for it is "bacterial SSU rRNA". It matches the Rfam family "Bacterial small subunit ribosomal RNA", at positions 340 to 894 of the family's 1533-position model. Lineage: Bacteria; Bacillati; Cyanobacteriota; Cyanophyceae; Synechococcales; Synechococcaceae. The record is from RNAcentral.